RNAcentral lists this non-coding RNA (498 nucleotides) under Salmo salar (Atlantic salmon). RNAcentral's name for it is "Eukaryotic small subunit ribosomal RNA". It matches the Rfam family "Eukaryotic small subunit ribosomal RNA", at positions 4 to 595 of the family's 1831-position model. Lineage: Eukaryota; Metazoa; Chordata; Actinopteri; Salmoniformes; Salmonidae. The record is from Rfam by way of RNAcentral.
CUGGUUGAUCCUCCUAGUAGUAUAUGCUUGACUCAAAGAUUAGGCCAUGCAAGUCUAAGUACAAUUGACUAGUACAGUGAAACUGUGAAUGGCUCAUCAGUUAUGGUUCCUUGAUCGCUCCAAUGUUACCUAAAUAACUGUGGCAAUUUUAGAGCUAAUACAUGUUAAUGAGCAUUGAUGACCUCGAGCCAUUUGUGCGCCCUUUGUGGCGGUGAUGUCUCAUUCGAAUGUAUGCCCUAUCAACUUUCGACGGUACUUUCUGUGUCUACCAUGGUGACCACAGGUAAUGGGGAAUCAGGGUUUGAUCCUGGAGAGGGAGCCUAAGAAACGGCUACCGUACACAAGGAUUAAGGCAGCAGGCGCGCAAAUUACCCACUGCCAACUCUGGGAGGUAUACCAAAAAUCACAAAACAGGACUCUCGAGGCCCUGUAAUUGGAAUGAGUACACAUUAAAUUAUUUGACAAGGAUCCAUUGCUAAUGUUUAAAAGUUGCAUUUU